AAAUUUUAAAUCUUAAUUUAAGUUCAAAUUAAAAUUUAAAAUUAUAUAUUUAAUUUUUAAAUUUUAACUCAUAUUUUAAUUAAAAAAGUAGAAAAAAUGAAUUUAAUCCGAAUAAAUAUCCAUUCCGUCCCGAUUUAACUUUCAAUCCGGCCUCCUAAGCCAGAUUGAAAAUUGAGGUGAUUGGGGGAUUCCCAUUCCACUCGGGAAUCGGAAUCAGAAUGGGAUUCCCGCGUACCAAACACCUACAAACAUAUUCACCCAUUCCGAUUCCGAUUCUAGGGUGAAAAAGAAGCGAACCAAACACGCCCUUAAGGGUGCGUUUGGUUCGCAUUAUGAAAGAUUACUAGGAAUAAAAGAUAUCCGAGAAUCUUAUUCCUAUUCAUCCUAUUACUAAGAAUGUGGAAUUCCUGUGUUUGGUUUGCACGGUAAUAUUAAUUAGCCAUGUUAUUUAAUAUUACAAAAAAUAUACAAUUAAUUAAUUUAUUUAUUUAAUUAAUUUUAGAUAAUGUUACCAAAAGUUUCAACAUCUUUUUAGAAAAAAGGAGAGAGAGUAUAAGUUAGAGAGAGAGAGCAUAAUUAAAAAAAUAGAAAGAAAAAUAUAGUCGAAAUUAGAGGGAGUGAGAGAGUUAAAAUUUUAGAAAGAGAGAGAGAGAAAGCUUAUUUUAGAGAGAGAAAAAAAAGUUGAAUUUUAGAGAGAAAAAUAAGUUUAGAGAGAGAUAUAAGGUUAGAGUGUAAAGAAAAAUAAUAUCAAUUAGCCGGCAGGUAGGAAGAAAGAAAAAAAUUAGACAUAUUAUGAUUACCCCAAUCCAUUAAUAUGAGGAUACCUACCCUCCCUCAAGGGAAUGAGAUUAGUACUUUGGGGUGAAUCUUAUUCCUAAGUGAAUCCAAUAUUACCAACUAGAUUAUUUAGUGCGUUUAGCCAAAUACUGUCAUAUUUUUUUAUUCCCAUUGGAUUACUAGGAAUCUUUAAAAGAUAGCGCGAACCAAACGCACCUUGAAGUCAAAAAUUAAAGUCAAAAAAUUUAAAUUUAACUAUUGCAAAAGAAGAAUGAUUCAGGCGUCUGAAUCAUUCUUAUUUUAGUUAAAAAUUAAAGUCAAAAAAUUUAACUUAAUUUUAAAUAAAAAUAUAAAAUAUAACUGAGAUAUUUUCGUAAAGUGCAUGAUCUGUCUGG
RNAcentral lists this long non-coding RNA (1172 nucleotides) under Ananas comosus (pineapple). RNAcentral describes it as "long non-coding RNA (ACOM_LNC016816)". Lineage: Eukaryota; Viridiplantae; Streptophyta; Magnoliopsida; Poales; Bromeliaceae. The record is from RNAcentral.